GGAUACCUGUAGUAAUUCUAGAGCUAAUACGUGCGUCAAAAGCCGACUUUUUGGAAGGCUUGUAUUUAUUAGAUACUAAACCAGUCCACUUCGGUGGUGUAAUGGUGAUUCAUAAUAACUUUGCGAACCGCAUGGCUCUGCCGGCGAUGGAUCAUUCAAGUUUCUGCCCUAUCAGCUCGGAUGGUAGUGUAUUGGACUACCAUGGCUAUAACGGGUCACGGGAGAUUAGGGUUUGAUUCCGGAGAGGGCGCCUGAGAGACGGCGACCACAUCCAAGGAAGGCAGCAGGCGCGUAAAUUACCCAAUCCUGAUACAGGGAGGUAGUGACAAUAAAUAACAAUGCCGGGCCUCUUCGAGGUCUGGCAAUUGGAAUGAGAACAACUUAAAUCCCUUAUCGAGGAUCAAUUGGAGGGCAAGUCUGGUGCCAGCAGCCGCGGUAAUUCCAGCUCCAAUAGCGUAUAUUUUAGUUGUUGCAGUUAAAAAGCUCGUAGUCGAAUUUCUGGUGGAAGAGUGCGGUCCGACCUUUAUGGCCGGUACUCGUACUCUUCGGCCAUCCUUGGGCGGAGCCUGUCUGGCAUUAAGUUGUCGGGCUGGGGAUGCCCAUCGUUUACUGUGAAAAAAUUAGAGUGUUCAAAGCAGACUUAUGUCGUUGAAUAUAUUAGCAUGGAAUAAUAAAAUAGGACCACAGUCGCUAUUUUGUUGGUUUGCGCACCGUGGUAAUGAUGAAUAGGGACAGUUGUGGGUAUUCGUAUUCACUUGUAAGAGUGAAAUUCUUAGAUUAANGGAAGACGAACUACUGCGAAAGCAUUUACCAAGAUGUUUUCAUUGAUCAGAGCGAAGUGUGGGGAUCGAAGAUGAUUAGAUACCGUCGUAGUCUACACCAUAACUAUGCC
This 892-nucleotide ribosomal RNA is filed under the name uncultured eukaryote. RNAcentral's name for it is "SSU rRNA". It matches the Rfam family "Eukaryotic small subunit ribosomal RNA", at positions 141 to 1043 of the family's 1831-position model. The record is from RNAcentral.